CCUACGGGGGGCAGCAGUGGGGAAUAUUGGGCAAUGGACGCAAGUCUGACCCAGCAACGCCGCGUGAAGGAAGAAGGCUUUCGGGUUGUAAACCUCUGUUAAGGGGGAAGAGCAGAAGACGGGACCCCUAGAAUAAGCCAGGGCUAACUCGGUGACAGCAGCCGCGGUAAUACGGAGGUGGCAAGCGUUGUCCGGAGUUCCUGGGGGGAAAGGGCGGGAAGGCGGUGAGACAAGGCAGAUGUGAAAUCCACGGGCUCAACCCGUGAACUGCCUUUGAAACUGUUUCCCUUGAGUGUCGGAGAGGUAAUCGGAAUUCCUUGUGUAGCGGUGAAAUGCGUAGAUAUCAGGAAGAACACCAGUGGCGAAGGCGGCUUACUGGACGAUAACUGACGUUGAGGCGCGAAAGCGUGGGUAGCAAACAGGAUUAGAUACCCUAGUAGUC
Molecule: ribosomal RNA, 442 nt
Filed under: uncultured bacterium
Lineage: Bacteria
Description: partial 16S ribosomal RNA
Rfam family: Bacterial small subunit ribosomal RNA
Source: RNAcentral